UGGGGAAUAUUGCACAAUGGGCGCAAGCCUGAUGCAGCCAUGCCGCGUGUGUGAAGAAGGCCUUCGGGUUGUAAAGCACUUUCAGCGAGGAGGAAGGUGGUGAACUUAAUACGUUCAUCAAUUGACGUUACUCGCAGAAGAAGCACCGGCUAACUCCGUGCCAGCAGCCGCGGUAAUACGGAGGGUGCAAGCGUUAAUCGGAAUUACUGGGCGUAAAGCGCACGCAGGCGGUUUGUUAAGUCAGAUGUGAAAUCCCCGGGCUCAACCUGGGAACUGCAUUUGAAACUGGUAAGCUAGAGUCUCGUAGAGGGGGGUAGAAUUCCAGGUGUAGCGGUGAAAUGCGUAGAGAUCUGGAGGAAUACCGGUGGCGAAGGCGGCCCCCCUGGACGAAGACUGACGCUCAGGUGCGAAAAGCGUGGGGCAGCAAACAGGAUUAGAUACCCUGGUAGUCCAGCGCUGUAAAACGAUGUCGAUUUUGGAGUUGUGCCCUUGAGGCGUGGCUUCCGGAGCUAACGCGUAAAUCGACCGCCUGGGGAGUACGGCC
Molecule: ribosomal RNA, 544 nt
Filed under: uncultured bacterium
Lineage: Bacteria
Description: partial 16S ribosomal RNA
Rfam family: Bacterial small subunit ribosomal RNA
Source: RNAcentral